UAGGGAAUCUUCGGCAAUGGGGGGAACCCUGACCGAGCAACGCCGCGUGAGUGAAGAAGGUUUUCGGAUCGUAAAGCUCUGUUGUUAAGGAAGAACGAGUGUGAGAAUGGAAAGUUCAUGCUGUGACGGUACUUAACCAGAAAGGGACGGCUAACUACGUGCCAGCAGCCGCGGUAAUACGUAGGUCCCGAGCGUUGUCCGGAUUUAUUGGGCGUAAAGCGAGCGCAGGCGGUUAGAAAAGUCUGAAGUGAAAGGCAGUGGCUCAACCAUUGUAGGCUUUGGAAACUGUUUAACUUGAGUGCAGAAGGGGAGAGUGGAAUUCCAUGUGUAGCGGUGAAAUGCGUAGAUAUAUGGAGGAACACCGGUGGCGAAAGCGGCUCUCUGGUCUGUAACUGACGCUGAGGCUCGAAAGCGUGGGGAGCGAACAGGA
Molecule: ribosomal RNA, 430 nt
Filed under: Bacteroidota bacterium
Lineage: Bacteria; Pseudomonadati; Bacteroidota
Also listed under: 1 other name
Description: Bacteroidetes bacterium partial 16S ribosomal RNA
Rfam family: Bacterial small subunit ribosomal RNA
Source: RNAcentral